This 428-nucleotide ribosomal RNA is filed under the name uncultured Virgibacillus sp. RNAcentral's name for it is "bacterial SSU rRNA". It matches the Rfam family "Bacterial small subunit ribosomal RNA", at positions 355 to 774 of the family's 1533-position model. The record is from RNAcentral. Lineage: Bacteria; Bacillati; Bacillota; Bacilli; Caryophanales; Bacillaceae.
UAGGGAAUCUUCCGCAAUGGACGAAAGUCUGACGGAGCAACGCCGCGUGAGUGAUGAAGGUUUUCGGAUCGUAAAACUCUGUUGUUAGGGAAGAACAAGUAUCGUUCGAAUAGGGCGAUGCCAUGACGGUACCUAACCAGAAAGCCCCGGCUAACUACGUGCCAGCAGCCGCGGUAAUACGUAGGGGGCAAGCGUUGUCCGGAAUUAUUGGGCGUAAAGCGCUCGCAGGCGGUCUUUUAAGUCUGAUGUGAAAGCCCACGGCUUAACCGUGGAGGGUCAUUGGAAACUGGAGGACUUGAGUACAGAAGAGGAGAGUGGAAUUCCACGUGUAGCGGUGAAAUGCGUAGAGAUGUGGAGGAACACCAGUGGCGAAGGCGACUCUCUGGUCUGUAACUGACGCUGAGGAGCGAAAGCGUGGGGAGCAAACA